Molecule: ribosomal RNA, 493 nt
Filed under: uncultured bacterium
Lineage: Bacteria
Description: bacterial SSU rRNA
Rfam family: Bacterial small subunit ribosomal RNA
Source: RNAcentral
GACGAACGCUGGCGGCGUGCCUAAUACAUGCAAGUCGAGCGGGCUAGCGCUUUCUUCGGAAAGCGUAGGCUAGCGGCGGACGGGUGAGUAACACGUAGGUAACCUGCCUGUAAGACUGGGAUAACAUUCGGAAACGAAUGCUAAUACCGGAUACGCAAUUUGGUCGCAUGACCAGAUUGGGAAAGACGGAGCAAUCUGUCACUUACAGAUGGACCUGCGGCGCAUUAGCUAGUUGGUGGGGUAACGGCUCACCAAGGCGACGAUGCGUAGCCGACCUGAGAGGGUGAUCGGCCACACUGGGACUGAGACACGGCCUAGACUCCUACGGGAGGCAGCAGUAGGGAAUCUUCCGCAAUGGACGAAAGUCUGACGGAGCAACGCCGCGUGAGUGAUGAAGGUUUUCGGAUCGUAAAGCUCUGUUGCCAGGGAAGAACGCUGGGGAGAGUAACUGCUCUCAAGGUGACGGUACCUGAGAAGAAAGCCCCGGCUAACU